Molecule: long non-coding RNA, 2676 nt
Filed under: Eucalyptus grandis
Lineage: Eukaryota; Viridiplantae; Streptophyta; Magnoliopsida; Myrtales; Myrtaceae
Description: long non-coding RNA (EGRA_LNC004594)
Source: RNAcentral
UGACCGAGUGGUGUGGGCCUGACCAGUUGCAGUCUACUUCGGUACGGUUCUCAGUUCUGCAAAUAGGGAACCGGUCUUGUAGGUCCGGUUCCCGGUUCUAGGUUGGGAACCGGACCGCCCGGGAACAAUCACCCUAAGGAUAAGCACCAGCAGAGGGAUGGGAAGGGGCCUGCUGUUGCGAAAGAGGCGGCUGGACCGCCCCCCAUGCACCGGGGAUGGGCCCGAAAUCCCCGCAAGGUCACCCGAUCCCACCGACCCCUUUAUCGCAGCCGCAGGACGCGCGCGAGAGAGAGAGAGAUAGCCCGGGCGGCGAGGGAGGCGAAAGCAUCCGAGGAGGGACUUGAUCAUGGGGUUUUUCUUGCGAGGGAUGAUGAGACCAUCUGUUCCGGUUGAGAUCUCGGGUGGAUCUAUCUUGGUGGUUCUCGGGUUGUUUCGUUGCUGUUGCCGGCGUUAGCGGCGGACUUUGAUUUGGCGAGGCGAAGAAGCGACGGUGGGUCUAGGCGGCGGAGGUUGAGCAGGGCAGCAACCCCGAUGGCCAUGGAUCUGCUCGACUCUGAUGUUUAUUUGAGAUUGGUUUGGAUGAUUGUGUUUUACCUUCUCUGCAGCUACCAUAAACAGAUCUGAGAGCGCGCAUCUCUCUCUCCGUCCCUCCCUCUCUCUCUCUCCCCCUCUCCAUACGCGACAAGCAUAAAGAGAAUGCGUUCGGCCAGGCGGCGGACGUGAAGCAGGCGAAGUCACGGCCUUCGUCAGCCUCGCCACUUGCCGGCGAGGACCAUGGCACUCUCCGCAGAUCUAGCGCUGCGGCCUUGCUGAACUCUCUCUCUCUCUAUAUAUAUGCGGUGCAGCGGCGGCGGCGGCGGCGGCGACGGCAGCAGCAACGAUGGGCCUAGACGAUGGCGAGGGUCGUUGGACCGUCAUCGGUAGAUGGACGGCCCUGCCACCGGCCAAGGGACCUCCUCCUUCCCUGGUCAGGUUUAGCCACCGACUCUCCCUCUUUAUUUGGGUUUUUUAUUAUUAUAAUUUUUUUAGGAUAAGAAGACCAGAAAACCCAAACUAUUUUACAUUUACCCUGAAUUUUUUUUUCUAGCAUAAGAAAACUCCAACUAUAUUAACUAUAAUACUUUUAUCCUAAAAUUUAAAACUGUUAUUGUGUGACGCAUUCACGCUCUAUCAAUAUUUAGUUAAAUGAAAGUCAUGUUCUUGAAAAUAGAUUUUUAAUAGUGUUUAUUGACCAAAUAUUGAUGUAGUGUAAAUAUGUCUUACAGUUAAAAAUUUAGAAUUUUAGGUUUAUGGAUACUUUUUUUAUCUUAAAUUUUUAUUGCGCGCCAGUAAUGUAUCAGAAGGGAAACGGCCAAAUGGGUCCUUCGCAUAUUUAAGGGAAGGGAAUGGAGCAGUUGAGGAUGCAAUUGGAUAAAAGAAAAUUUUGUGUGAUUGAAUAAAUUAAAGAAGCUCACCAACUACGGACCACUUAAUUCUUUUAUUUAUUAAUUUUUGCAUGACCAUUACCCAACACUGUUGACCAAUUGCCGUCCUAAAGCAGUUGUCCCCGCCUUUGAAUUUGACAUAAAUUUUCAGUUACAUUGAUUCAUUCUCGAGGGGUAGAUUUCCAUGAAGCUACCAGGAGCAACGGAGGAAGACGACGGACACUUUCGAUGAUCUUCCCAUUGUCCUUUUCCUAGUCAUUUUCCAAUCUCAAAGUCUUGUUAUUUCCAUUUUCCUAGGAUCUAUCAGUCAAUUAUAUAUAUUUUCUUGCAUUCGCAGUCCUCUGUUUUUUAUGCGUUCCGAGAACAUCUGUUGACAAGACUUAUAAACUCGGAUCUUUGGUCUCGGAUCUUUGGUCAAUCACAAUCCGAGAUUGAAACGUGGAAGGUCCUUAGCAUCACAACAUCAACGGACGUGAAAAGGAAGGAUAGAAAAAAAAAAUAUUAUAAUAACAUCAUUAGCAAUGCUUCAAUAAUUAGGCGAUGGUCCACAACAAUACGAGUUUGCCCUAUUCAAAGGAUUUUGUUGAUAAGGGUCUCCAUAAUUUAUCUUUUCUCAUGUCGUAUUUUGAAAAUUGUACAAUCUCUUAAUAAGUAUGUUUAAUCUCGUUAAUAAAAAAAAUGUUUAGGUAUACUAAGGGUGUGUUCAGUAACAACAAUUAGUACUAAAAUUUAGAAGGAAUGAUUUGCUUAGUUAAUUCAAAAGAAGAUAUUUAGUGAGAAUUAGAGUUGUAUCAAUUAUAUUGCUAAAACUUAUUUUAAUCUCCCUAGCUAUUCAUAGUUAAACCACCAUUUAAUUCUACUCAGGUACUAAAGUUGUGGACAUAUUUAGGGAUUAAAUAUGUAGCACCCAUUUUACAAUUUUAUUGAAUGAGCCUUUGGAGGCUAAGAUCGAUUAUUGUUUGAUAAGAUAAAUUUUAGUUGGAUAUUAAAUGUGAUCUACUUGUUCAAACGUUCAAUAAUAGUUGGCCUUAUCAUCGAUUUAAUAGCUUAUGGCAAACGCUAAUGAAUAAUAAUUUGCCUUAAAUGAUAAGAAUAAUUUACACAUAUUUCUAUAUAAAGAAUAACACAUGCUUUAUAAGAUGAUUAAGAUAAAGAUAAUAUCAAUUAUAAUCUAUAUAAGAUAUGCACAAUUCAUAUAGGGAAAAAUGACACAAAUAAUCUAUGAAUUUUAAUUUAAUGUGCAAUGUGGUCU